UGAGGUGCGAAAGCGUGGGGAGCAAACGGGAUUAGAUACCCCGGUAGUCCACGCCGUAAACGAUGUCUACUAGCCGUUGGAGGACUUGAUCCUUUAGUGGCGCAGCUAACGCGAUAAGUAGACCGCCUGGGGGAGUACGGUCGCAAGAUUAAAACUCAAAUGAAUUGACGGGGGCCCGCACAAGCGGUGGAGCAUGUGGUUUAAUUCGAAGCAACGCGAAGAACCUUACCUACUCUUGACAUCCAGUGAACUUUUGAGAGAUCAAUUGGUGCCUUCGGGAACACUGAGACAGGUGCUGCAUGGCUGUCGUCAGCUCGUGUUGUGAAAUGUUGGGUUAAGUCCCGUAACGAGCGCAACCCUUGUCCUUAGUUACCAUCAUUAAGUUGGGGACUCUAAGGAGACUGCCGGUGGCAAACCGGAGGAAGGCGGGGACGACGUCAAGUCAUCAUGGCCCUUACGAGUAGGGCUACACACGUGCUACAAUGGCAUGUACAAAGGGUUGCCAAGCCGCGAGGUGGAGCUAAUCCCAUAAAGCAUGUCGUAGUCCGGAUUGG
This 554-nucleotide ribosomal RNA is filed under the name uncultured bacterium. RNAcentral describes it as "bacterial SSU rRNA". It matches the Rfam family "Bacterial small subunit ribosomal RNA", at positions 747 to 1301 of the family's 1533-position model. The record is from RNAcentral.